UGGGGAAUUUUGCACAAUGGGCGCAAGCCUGAUGCAGCGACGCCGCGUGAGGGAUGAAGGCCUUCGGGUUGUAAACCUUUUUCGCUCAUGGUCAAGCCGCAGCUUUGGGUUGUGGUGAGGGUAGUGGGUAAAGAAGCGCCGGCUAACUACGUGCCAGCAGCCGCGGUAAUACGUAGGGCGCGAGCGUUGUCCGGAAUUAUUGGGCGUAAAGGGCUUGUAGGCGGUUGGCCGCGUCUGCCGUGAAAUCCUCUGGCUUAACUGGGGGCGUGCGGUGGGUACGGGUUGACUUGAGUGCGGUAGGGGAGACUGGAAUUCCUGGUGUAGCGGUGGAAUGCGCAGAUAUCAGGAGGAACACCGGUGGCGAAGGCGGGUCUCUGGGCCGUUACUGACGCUGAGGCUCGAAAGCGUGGGGAGCGAACAGG
This 422-nucleotide ribosomal RNA is filed under the name Verrucomicrobiota bacterium. RNAcentral describes it as "Verrucomicrobia bacterium partial 16S ribosomal RNA". It matches the Rfam family "Bacterial small subunit ribosomal RNA", at positions 355 to 776 of the family's 1533-position model. Lineage: Bacteria; Pseudomonadati; Verrucomicrobiota. The record is from RNAcentral.